RNAcentral lists this transfer RNA (67 nucleotides) under Pedionis papillata. Its description in RNAcentral is "tRNA-Met". The record is from RNAcentral. Lineage: Eukaryota; Metazoa; Arthropoda; Insecta; Hemiptera; Cicadellidae.
AAAAGAUAAGCUAAACUAAGCUUUUAGGCUCAUAACCUAAAUAUAGAACUAAAUAUUCUUCUUUUUA